AGUAGAAUUUCUGGGUUGUAUAGUAAUUCUUUAUUUAACUUUUUGGAGGAACUGCCAAAUAGUUUUCCACAGUGGCUGCACCAUUUUAUAUUCCUGCCAGCAAU
Molecule: microRNA precursor, 104 nt
Filed under: Marmota monax (woodchuck)
Lineage: Eukaryota; Metazoa; Chordata; Mammalia; Rodentia; Sciuridae
Source: RNAcentral